GGUGGGUGUAGUUCAGUGGUAGAGCGCCAGAUUGUGGAUCUGGUUGUCGUGGGUUCGAAUCCCAUCACUCACCCUGU
This 77-nucleotide transfer RNA is filed under the name Treponema pallidum subsp. pallidum str. Chicago. RNAcentral's name for it is "tRNA-His". It matches the Rfam family "tRNA". Rfam says of the family: Transfer RNA (tRNA) molecules are approximately 80 nucleotides in length. Their secondary structure includes four short double-helical elements and three loops (D, anti-codon, and T loops). Lineage: Bacteria; Pseudomonadati; Spirochaetota; Spirochaetia; Treponematales; Treponemataceae. The record is from RNAcentral.